Molecule: ribosomal RNA, 381 nt
Filed under: uncultured eukaryote
Lineage: Eukaryota
Description: partial 18S ribosomal RNA
Rfam family: Eukaryotic small subunit ribosomal RNA
Source: RNAcentral
CAAUAGCGUAUAUUAAAGCUGUUGCGGUUAAAAAGCUCGCAGUUGGAUUUCUGUCAAGGACAACUGGUCCGCCCCUCGGGUGAGCACAUAGUUUGGUCUUGGCAUCUUGUUGGAAACUGUUGCUGCACUUGGUUGUGUGGCGCAGUGUCCAGCACUUUCACUUUGAGGAAAUUGGAGUGUUUCAAGCAGGCACAUGCCUUUGGACACAGUAGCAUGGAAUAAUUAGAUUGGGCUUUUGCUCCAACUUGUCGGUUUCUGGAGCUGAGGUGAGAAUUAAUGGGGAUUGUUGGGGGCAUCCGAAUUUAGCCGUCAGAGGUGAAAUUCUUGGAUCUGCUAAAGACGGACAACUGCGAAAGCGUUUGCCCAGGAUGUUUUCAUUGA